Molecule: long non-coding RNA, 1970 nt
Organism: Mizuhopecten yessoensis (Yesso scallop)
Lineage: Eukaryota; Metazoa; Mollusca; Bivalvia; Pectinida; Pectinidae
Exons: 3
Source: RefSeq, a predicted model, not a curated record
UCCAAUAUGGCCGCCGUGGUCGCCAUUUUGAAAAACUAUUUCAAACUUAAAGUAAAGUUUUACUUGGCCGAUUUCAGUUCAAUCUGCCCAGCAGAACUUUACUUUUAAGUUUGAAAUGGUGUCUAUCCCAUUAAUGAUUUUAUCCCUCUGACACUCAAAAUCUAUACAUCUAAAUGUUGUCUAUCCCAACCAUUGAAAGUUAUGCAACAUUUGAAACUAUAUAUUUGAAAGGGUUUAUUGAACACUCACUUGAUCAAUCAUACACUGAACAAGAAUCAUGAAUAUGCACCUAGCUAGUUUGCUGAUAGUACUAAUCAUCAUAAUUCAUACCUAUGAAGAUUUUGGAGGAAUUAUCACACGACUCGAUGAAAUUAAGAAAUUUUUAUUUUACAUCUUAAUUGAAAUUUUAAACAUCUACAAAAUCAAAACAUUUCACAACAGAAAUGAAAGCUAAAUUCAUAAUGUAUAUAUCAUGAAAGGUUGAUUGCAAGUCAGACAACUUAGACUCAAGCAUUUAAAUUUUCAACUUUAUCAAUAAACAUGAAAUAGGGGUAAGUAGACAUUUUAAAAUUAAUCAUUUCACUUCUUCUAUAAAUUGGAAACUUUCAAUAAUGAGUAAGUUUAUGUAAUGUUAUCAGCAUAGAAAUAUUUUUUAUCAUUUCGAUUAGUACAAAAUAUUUAACAUACUAAUAAACACCAAAACUUAGAUUUAAUAUGGACUACAACACCAAUAAAAACCAGGAAGAGUAAAUUUCAAAGAACAAGAAACAGCAUACUCGCCAUAUCCGAACCAUCCUCAUCAGGCAAGCUUCCAAUUUCUUAUAUAAGUCAACUUAUUUACUGCUUAAAUUUGAAAGAAAAUCUAAAGUUGUUCAAUCAAAUUAACAUUCAAAUUUAAAUCCAAAUCCAACAUGUAUAAUGAAUCAUUUUCUAAUAAAAGUAAUACUAAUUUUACAUUUUUUCUAUAGAUUCUGAUAGUGAAACAGACCUAAUACCUACAAGAAGACCAUAUCAGGACACUAUGAGGAGAAUGACAAAGAUUGUGAACCUUAAGCCUAACAGUGAUGUAAUGCCACCUCUGGAACCUAUAGGGGAGCUAACGAAAAAUGAAACCGCAGCGCAUGAAAUGAUCAGCAGGAGAUGGUCAAGACUAAACAGAUAACUUUUUGAAUUGUAAAAAAACCAAAAAAAACAAAAACUUCAAUAAGAAAUUGACAAGCAGAUAUAUAUCAUUUUAGUUGGAAUGAGGUUUUCUGUAAAUGUUGAAAUCAAACAAACUUGCAAUUGAAACUGUUCGCCACAGUUCCCCUCCAGGCUGUACCGCGUCUACUCUAGGCUGUCCCCCUUGAGCACGUAUUUCUUCUUGCUCCUCUACAGAGGUUCCUAUAUUAGCUGGAGGCGUCUCUAUAGUGCCCAUUUCCAAAUCAUGUACUGCUUCUAACAGUUUGAAAAAAGAAUAUUUUAAACACAUAGUAGGAUCAAUAUUUUCAAAAAUCUCAAAUUUAUGCUAUUGCAAGUUAUUCUGUAACAUUUAUCUAUACCUUUAUGUCUCUGUCUUAGAUUGUAUAGGCGCCUCCUUAUCCUUAAAUUGUGACGUCUUACAUUCUCAGGUCUAUUGACUAGCCUUCUAUUGGGAGCUUCUCUAUUGAGAGGUUAUCUAUUGGUCAGUCUUAAACUCUCCAUAAAGUAGAUCAUGACAGCCAAUAUGAAAUCCGAAAAUAAUGAAUAUAUUUACCUCUCUUUUCUCCUUCACACAAAGAAAAGGCUGAUCAUCCCGAGAAAGACUAUGAUAGUAGCUAAAAUAAGAAAAAAAAGGUUUAACCAAGUAAGGGCUGUUCCAGAAAAAAAGACAUCCCCCCCCUGGGACGGCAAACUUUUUUUGUUAACGUGGGUGGUUGAACAUUGAAUAAAAUCGUAGUUAUUGGUUGUUGUUGUUGUUGUAUUUUCGUUUCUGUGGGUCGUUGUACGUU